AACAGUAGAUAGGAUAAAGGAGAGAGAAUAAGGAAAAAGACUUAUCCCUUAGAACAGUGUGGGGAAUUUGGUGACACACAACUUAGGGUCCAGUACAAACCCUGUCCCUUACCAGCCUCAGUUACCCUGUCUGGAAAAUGGGAACAAUGCUCACUCUGCUCUGUGUUCAGUUUGGAAAUGGAAAGAAAUGGCUGUGCUAGGCCCAGGCACGCAGAGAUUCCGUAUUCUUCGUUCUGGACCACAGAGACUCGGAGCCAUGAAGUUUUCCACUGUGGUUUCAGGACUACCAUAAAUGUCAAUCUUGGGGCAUUUUUCAGAUCCCUUCAUUUUUCUGGCUACUGUAAAAAAAUGCUGGGCAGAAAGAAACCACUUGUUCUGGACGGAUCAGAGCUCUGGGAGGGGAUCAACAGCUUGAUUGACGUAAAGGUUUCGGAGAGAUGUGCUGCAUCAGCGCUGGAAGAUUCUAAUGAUUCUACCUCCCUGUACAAAUUCAUUUUCCCGCUAGCAGUAUGUGAGGGUGCUCUGUCCCCACCCUCUGUGUGAGCCAGGAGCGUCAGGUGGAGUCCUUGUUACCUUUGAGAGGAAGAAACAGUUUCCCUGUGAGAUUCUCCACUCCCUGUGUGAUUCUCCACUCCCUGUGCGAUUCUCUUCCUCCUGUUCCUUUCAGCUUUCAUAGUAUUUCUUUGGAGAAUUAAAAACAAUAUGUAUUUUUGGAGUGAAUACCUGAUUCGUAGGAGUUCAUUUUAAUUCAUUAUAAUCAUACCCAUGAUACGAUUAAAGUCUCUUUAUAAUGUACACAGUAUAUGAUAGCUACAAUGAAGUCAUAAUUAUAAUCAAUAAUUAUAUUUAUAUAUAAUUAAUAAUUAUAUAUUAAAUAUUAUAUAACUAGUGAUUGUGAAUUAAACUGUUGCUCUC
RNAcentral lists this long non-coding RNA (915 nucleotides) under Mus pahari (shrew mouse). RNAcentral's name for it is "lncRNA (MGP_PahariEiJ_G0005324.1)". Lineage: Eukaryota; Metazoa; Chordata; Mammalia; Rodentia; Muridae. The record is from RNAcentral.